Non-coding RNA from Oryctolagus cuniculus (rabbit), 1170 nucleotides. Lineage: Eukaryota; Metazoa; Chordata; Mammalia; Lagomorpha; Leporidae. The record is from RefSeq and is a predicted model, not a curated record.
AUGACAUACACCUACUCUGGAGACUCACAGGUCUGCAAUAUCCAAAUACCUCGAACAUACAGUCACGCUGAAACUGGCCUCGGAGAAAAGGCAGCCUUGUUCCCCCAGCAGGCUAGGCCCCAGUGCUGGGAGCUGUCUCCACAGGACACCAAGGAGAAAAACUCUCACCCUGACCCGCUGAGGGUGGGCACUGCCCCCCACCCACACCUCUCACCCUGUGCUGCAGCUGGACAGAAAGGCUUGAGAAGCCAGGACAUUCCAGAGGCCAAGGAGAGGGCGGAACUGAGGAGGGCCCGAGACACAGAGCUCCACUUCUCACCGGAGCCACUGUGGCCAGCACGAGUUACGGAGCACCUGGGGCAGUACAGGCGGGAGAUCCAACGGUGCCGGACGCCGGCGUCCACGUGGGAGCGGAGCAAGGCGCACACGCACAGAGGCACCGGAUUUUCCUCAGAGAGGCUCCAGCAGACAAAAGCUGAUGGAGGAAAGCGGCGGAAGAGAAGAACUAUGGGCAGGCAGGCCUCCCGCGGAGGAAAUGCCAGAAAGUGCUGGCUAACUCCUGGUGCACAGAAAAUGAAGGUGAAGCUUGAAGUGCCUACAGCAGAAAAACACCAGAACAUCUGCAUCAUUUUCUCUUCAUUAACGUCUAGCUCCUGCCUGGCCAUUAUAUUUACAUCACUUUGUGUUUGCCUCUGAAAAUACAUUCCCAGGUAUUGAUGAAGAGUUUCUUAAUUUUUUUACAAUCAUUGCAUAACACAUGAAUACAUCAUCCCUCAGUGCCUCCAGAGCUAUCUGGCUUUCUAAUGCAUUUUUUUUGUUUUUGUGUUUUUUAAAAGACUUAUUUAUUUAUUUGAAAGGCAGAGUUACAGAGAGGUAGAGGCAGAGAAAGAGAGAGAAGUCCUCCAUCCUCUGGUUCACCCCCAAAAUGGCCACAACAGCUGAGCUGGGCUGAUCUGAAGCCAGGAGCCAGGAGUUUUGUCCAGGUCUCCCAUGUGGGUGCAGGGCCCUGAGCACUUGGGCCAUCUUCCAUUGCUUUCCAGACCAUAGCAGAGAACUUGAUUGGAAGUGGAACAGCCAGGACUUGAACUGGUGCUCAUAUGGGAUGCCACCACUGCAGGUGGUGGCCUUACCCACUAAGCCACAGCACCAGCCCCUCUAAUGCAUUGUUAA